Molecule: transfer RNA, 73 nt
Filed under: Ovis aries (sheep)
Lineage: Eukaryota; Metazoa; Chordata; Mammalia; Artiodactyla; Bovidae
Rfam family: tRNA
About the family: Transfer RNA (tRNA) molecules are approximately 80 nucleotides in length.
Source: Rfam by way of RNAcentral
UUCCUGGCAAUCCAGUGGUUAGGAUUCUGCACUUUCACUGCAGUGGGCCUGGGUUCAAUCCCCGCUUGGGAAA